GCCCGGCUUCGUGACGCUUGCCUUUCGGAGCCGCUUGCCGCUUCUCCGCAGCCCUGGACCAGAGGGGACAAGCGAUGCUGCCCGAGCCCCCGCCCCUGGGCUUCGGGACAGGGACGCGGGGCGCCUGAAAGGACUGCUACCGCGGCUUCUGCGCCAAGGCAACCGGGGCUGGAGGGGGCCUCCGAGUUGUUCUUUGGGGGCGGAAGCUGCGGGCCGCGCCUCCCAGGCCGCGCCCUUCCCAGAGACCAGUUUCUGGGCUUUUUAAGGUCAAGUUUUUUGUGCCGCAGAGCGGGCCGGGAUCGUCUCCCUGCGAGGUGGCGGUGCCUACCACAGCGGGUCGGGAGCUUCUGGGAUCCGAGCCGAGAAACGGGACGCUCGAGUCCAUUUGCAGUCUUCACGUAGGAAACGGUGCUAGAACAACAAACCAGAAGAUUAACAGAGUUGGGGCUAAUAUAAUGCGUUUAAUUGUCUCAUGGCCC
Molecule: long non-coding RNA, 479 nt
Filed under: Pan troglodytes (chimpanzee)
Lineage: Eukaryota; Metazoa; Chordata; Mammalia; Primates; Hominidae
Description: lincRNA
Source: RNAcentral